UACGUAGGGGGCUAGCGUUGUCCGGAAUCAUUGGGCGUAAAGCGCGUGUAGGCGGUUCGGUAAGUCCGCUGUGAAAGUCGAGGGCUCAACCCUCGAAAGCCGGUGGAUACUGUCGGGCUAGAGUGCGGAAGAGGCGAGUGGAAUUCCUGGUGUAGCGGUGAAAUGCGCAGAUAUCAGGAGGAACACCAAUGGCGAAGGCAGCAAACUGGGCAUCAUCUGACGCUGAGGCGCGAAAGCGUGGGGAGCGAACCGG
Molecule: ribosomal RNA, 253 nt
Filed under: uncultured bacterium
Lineage: Bacteria
Description: partial 16S ribosomal RNA
Rfam family: Bacterial small subunit ribosomal RNA
Source: RNAcentral